RNA transcript from Nicotiana attenuata, 2390 nucleotides. It is a transcript of the gene named glycogen phosphorylase 1-like, with no coding region annotated. The transcript is spliced from 12 exons. NCBI's taxonomy places the organism in Eukaryota, Viridiplantae, Streptophyta, Magnoliopsida, Solanales, Solanaceae. The record is from RefSeq and is a predicted model, not a curated record.
UCAAACCAUAUUCAGUGAACCAAUUAUAGAAAGUUGUCCACCUUUUCCCGUGAUUCUUUUUCCGUGAUGUACUACUACUGCAGUUGAGUUCUAUAGGCCUCCAACCUUCUUCUAACUGUAUAGCAAUGGCUGCCAUUUCAGUUCCUCUCCUCACCCUUCGAUCACCUCAAGCCAACCGCCCUUUCCCUUCAUUCUUUAAUCUCAACCGUCCCUUUUCAACUUCACUCUCCUCCAAUUGCAGCUUCAACCAUUUAACAGUCUCAAAUAAUAGUAGUACUUCUUCUAACCAAGCCAUCACUGAAACAACAACCUCUGACUACUCUACCAUCAAUGUCCAAAACGACGACGCUUUAGACACCACCCUUUUCGUUAUUCGGGCCAAGAACCGAAUUGGCCUUCUCCAAAUCAUCACCCGCGUAUUCAAAGUCCUCGGGCUCACCAUUCAAAAGGCCAUUGUUGAAUUCGAAGGCGAGUUUUUCGUGAACAAGUUUUUCGUCAGUGAUUCUAACGGUAUGAAGAUUGAGAAAACGGAACAUUUGGAAAAGAUUCAGAAGGCAUUGAAGGAAGCUAUUGAUACUGGCGGAGUAUCGCCGUCUGUGGCGGUGGUUAGUGGGAGAGGAGUGGUUGUGAGGAAAGCUGGGUUGAACUUAGGAGAGAGGAAAGCGAAAGCAGAGAAGAUGUUUGGGUUAAUGGAUGGGUUCUUGAAAAAUGAUGCAGUUAGUUUACAAAAAGAUAUUCUUGAUCAUGUUGAAUUUACUGUUGCUCGAUCAAGAUUCAAUUUUGAUGAUUUUGAAGCUUACCAGGCAUUAGCGCAUAGUGUCAGGGAUCGGCUUAUUGAACGAUGGCAUGAUACUCACCAGUAUUUUAAGAAGAAAGACCCCAAGCGACUGUACUUCCUUUCGCUUGAGUUUCUUAUGGGUCGUUCUCUAACUAACAGUGUCAUAAACCUUGGCAUCCAGGACCAAUAUGCCGAUGCAUUAAGUCAGCUUGGAUUUGACUAUGAAGUCUUGGCAGAGCAGGAAGGAGAUGCUGCCCUUGGUAAUGGUGGCCUAGCUCGCCUUGCAGCUUGCCAAAUGGAUUCCCUAGCGACAUUGGACUACCCAGCUUGGGGUUAUGGACUACGCUAUCAAUAUGGAUUAUUUCGUCAGAUCAUAGUGGAUGGUUUUCAACAUGAACAACCUGAUUUUUGGUUGAACUUUGGGAACCCCUGGGAGAUUGAACGUGUUCAUGUGUCUUAUCCAGUAAAGUUCUAUGGGACUGUUGAAGAGGAAGUUUUAAAUGGAAAAACAUGUAGAGUUUGGAUACCUGCAGAAUCAGUAAGUGCUCCUGUAUUUAAUUAGUCAUUUUUUUCUACAAAUUUAGACUAAUUGCAUGUAAUGUUGCCGAAUGACUAGCGUGUUCGUUUACUUUUAGGUCGAAGCAGUGGCUUAUGAUAAUCCAAUACCUGGUUAUGGAACGCGAAAUGCCAUCAACCUACGACUUUGGGCUGCUAAACCAAGUGAUCAAUAUGAUUAUGAGUCUUACACCACUGGAGACUAUAUUAAUGCUAUUGUUAACAGACAGAAGGCUGAAACCAUAAGUAAUGUGCUGUAUCCUGAUGACCGUUCUUACCAGGGUAAGGAACUGCGGUUGAAGCAACAGUAUUUCUUUGUUUCAGCAUCACUACAAGACAUAAUAAGGAGGUUUAAGGAUUUACAUAAUAACUUUGAUGAGUUUCCAGAGAAGGUUGCUCUUCAGAUAAAUGAUACACAUCCGUCAAUUGCCAUUGCUGAGGUAAUGAGAGUGCUUGUUGAUGAAGAGCACUUGGAUUGGAGCAAAGCAUGGGGUAUUGCUUGCAAGAUUUUCUCAGUCACCAUUCACGCGGUACAACCUGAAGCACUUGAGAAAGUUCCCAUAGAUCUCCUGGGUAGCGUUCUUCCUCGGCAUUUAGAGAUUAUAUAUGAGAUAAACUAUUGUCUCAUGGAGGAGUUAAAAAAGAUACUUGGUCAGGACUAUGAUAAACUUUCCCGAAUGUCAAUUAUUGAGGAAGGUGCUGUGAAGUGUAUUAGGAUGGCAAACCUGUCACUUGCAUGUUGCCACACUGUGAAUGGCGUUUCCAGGCUGCAUCUUGAGACGCUUAAAACAAGAGUGUUCAAGGACUUUUAUGAGCUGUGGCCUCAGAAAUUUCAGUUCAAGACUAAUGGAGUAACUCAGGUGCAUAAUUGUGACUGCUAGUUGUGAUUCGAUUUUUUCAAUUUCAAGAUUGCUGCCUCAGGCUUUGACUUGACAGUUAUUCUUCAAAACUUCCUGACAUUGUUCAAAAACUUCUGAUUCCUUUACUGCCUUUUGUAGAUAGUGUAUGUGAGAAAGCACAGGAGAAAUUAUAUUAUUGAUGUAUUAACAUAUGUUAC